CCUGAUGCAGCAACGACCGCGUGAGGUAUGAAGGCCUUUGGGUGUGUGAAGCCUCUGUCCUAGGGGAAGAAAAAAAUGACGGUACCCGAGGAGGAAGCCCCGGCUAACUACGUGCCAGCAGCCGCGGUAAUACGUAGGGGGCAAGCGUUAUCCGGAAUUAUUGGGCGUAAAGAGUGCGUAGGUGGUCUACUAAGCGCGAGGUGAAAGGCAAUGGCUCAACCAUUGUUAGCCUUGUGAACUGGCAGACUUGAGUGCAAGAGAGGAAAGCGGAAUUCCUAGUGUAGCGGUGGAAUGCGCAGAUAUUAGGAGGAACACCGGCGGCGAAGGCGGCUUUCUGGAUUGUAACUGACACUGAGGCACGAAAGCGUGGGUAGCAAACAGGAUUAGAUACCCUGGUAGUCCACGCCGUAAACGAUGAGCACUAGGUGUCGGGACAUGAGUCUCGGUGCCGCAGUUAACGCAAUAAGUGCUCCGCCUGGGGAGUACGCACGCCAGUGUAAAACUCAAAGGAAUUGACGGGGACCGCACAGCAGCGAGCAUGUGGUUUAUUCGAGCACGCGAGAACCUACCAGACUGACUCCUCUGACGUACC
RNAcentral lists this ribosomal RNA (592 nucleotides) under [Eubacterium] saphenum. RNAcentral describes it as "bacterial SSU rRNA". It matches the Rfam family "Bacterial small subunit ribosomal RNA", at positions 382 to 997 of the family's 1533-position model. The record is from RNAcentral. Lineage: Bacteria; Bacillati; Bacillota; Clostridia; Peptostreptococcales; Anaerovoracaceae.